AAAAUUCAAAAUCACAAAUUCGUCCCAAAUUCUGGCAUCCCGCGAUAGAUUCCAAUUAGUGAGAAGAGCAAAGAGAUGAGAGGCGGAGCCGCCGGAAAGAGAAAAACAACGGCCGGUUUCUCCGGAGCACCACCACCGCAACCACCACCUUCGGUAGAUUACCAGCGCCAACUCUUCAACUCACGAGACUCCGACGCCAGUUUCGCCAGCAGCCGCCCGUCAUCAGUCGGCUUAAGCCGCGCCUCCGAUAUACACACCGACAGAUCUCACCAAUCCUCGACGAUCCGCUCCAUCAACGCCUUCCUCGCGUCUCACAACUCCCCGAUCUCGCUCCGCGCCCACCCCGUCCCUCCCGUCAAAGACAUCUCCGAAACCCUAGUUUUCCUCCUCUCCACGGUCGAUUUCCACUGCGAUAAUCGCAAAUGGGACGAGGACGUCGUCUUCUUCCUCAGAUCGCUUAGCUGCCCGCUCAAGCUCACCAAAUCCACCCUCCGCGCUCCGAACUCGCCUCACAACUGGCCUAACGUCCUCGCCGUGAUUAACUGGCUGGUUCAGUACGCUCGCUUCCGUCAGCAUCUAUCGUCGAAUCCCGCCUCGGUGGCUCCGGAUGCUAACUCUAUGUCUUCCUUCGGGAUCAGAAGCUACUGCCAUUUCAUCCGCGGGGAAGACGAUUCGGUUAACGAUCUUGAUUCGGAGUUCUUGGGGAAACUCGAAGCGGAGAAGGUUACGAUCGCUGAAACGAUCUCGAAUUCUGAGAAGGUCGCCGCCGAAUUGGAGGCGAAGCUCGAUGCGUUGAGGAAAGGUCCCUCGAAGAAGGAAGCUCUAGAGAAAGUUAAGGCUGAUUUGGAGAAAGAUGUGAACAAGUUUCGCACGAUGGUUGCGGAACGUAGCGAGAGGACUCGUGGGAUGGAGAAAGUGGUGGAGGAGAAGGAGAAGGAAGUGUUGGCUAAGGAGGAAGAGAGGGGACGGAUCUUUGAAGAGAACAAGGAGCUGAAGAAGAGUGUGGAGGUUCAGUGUUUUAAUGUGAGAGAUGUUGAGAGGAUGAAGAGAGAGUUGCAAGCUGUGGAGAGAGAUGUUUCGGAGGCUGAGGUGGCUAGAGAUGGUUGGGAGCAGAAAGCUUGGGAGGUUAAUUCACAGAUUAGUAAUCAGUUUCAUCAGAUUCAGAGGCUUGCUAUUGAUUGUAACCAGGCUCUGAGGAGGUUGAAGGUUGAUGUUCAGUUCGCUGUGAAUGAGAGAGGGGAGGUACCUGAGGAGGUGAUGGGUGCGGAGUAUAAAGCUCUGGUGAAGCCAGCUCUGUGUUCGUUGUAUGAUGGUAUCAAAGAAGGGUCGACGAAGAAGGCUGAUGAGCUUGUUUCCUUACAACAACAGGUGUCUGAAAUGGCGUCGAAGAUCGAGUCAAGAAAGAGUAUUCUAAGGUCGAUUCAGAAUGUUCAUUCAUGUUUUGUAAUGAAGGUCCUACUCACUACACCAACAACACCAACAGAGAGAAUGAAGAGAAUUGUUGACGCAUCAGAAGGAUUUAUUUACCUUGUAAGAUCCCUCUUUGUGUAUCUUUCUUUCUUUCCAGAUAUUCACAUGUGUUUUUAUGUCUGAAAAUGUAUUGGCCUUGCUAUUGGAUUUGACAGGUGAGCUCAAUUGGAGUGACGGGUGCACGUGCAUCUGUAAGCGGGAAGGUCCAGUCGCUCUUGAAGGAUAUCAAAGAGGUAUGAUAAAUAACACAUAUAUUACUGUUUUAUUGUUAUCUUGAAAUGAUGUUAAAAUGUUUGGCCUUUAACUCAAUGCAGGCAACAGACAAGCCAGUGGCUGUCGGUUUUGGAAUAUCAAAGCCUGAGCAUGUGAAACAGGUCCUACACCUCACAAAAAGGAUGCUUCCUAUAAUGUCUCUUAAGUUGUAUGCUUGUUUGUUGUUUGACAAUUUUUUUCUUCUUCUUCUUAUAAUUGUGUGUACAGAUAGCUGGAUGGGGAGCUGAUGGAGUGAUUGUAGGCAGUGCAAUGGUGAGGCUUUUGGGAGAUGCUAAGUCGCCAACGGAAGGGCUCAAGGAGCUUGAGAGUCUCACAAAGUCUCUCAAAUCUGCUCUUCUUUGAAACACAAAGAAAAACAUUUGCAGAACGCUUCAUUGAUUGUGUUUUUGUUUUACUAAGUUACCAGUAAUGUAUGAAAAUUAUGUUCCAAACUUUUGAGACAUUUCGAGUAUGAUCAAGUUGCAGUGUGGUCUGGUCUCUCAGUCCACAAAUCAGUUUUUAUUGGUACUUCAAUGAAAACUACAGUGGAUCGCAUUUUGAUUGCCUGCAAUAGUACUCGAAGCAAUUCCGAUUUGAAUUCUGAUUAGAACUUUGAUAAUAAGAAAACUCUUUAGUGUUUCAAAAAAAAAAAAAAAAAAAAAAACUCUUUCAUUUUCAUUAGUCCCUCUUUUUAUUCAAUUGUAUUUCAAAAUUUAUUUGAUGAAAUCAUGGUUUAAUUUUCAAUACAGUUUUUUACUUUUAGCUGGAGAUGUUAGAGCAUCUACAACUCUUCUUUUCAAAAAUAGAUGUGAAUUUGCUACAAUUUAUACUAUAUAAAGAAAAAAAAUCUAUUUAUAAAGAAAAUAUAGAAGAAUGCUAUUUUUUACUUCUAAAUACAGAGGUGAAAAUAAUAUUAAAAACAAAAAAAUAAAAGAAUUCUAUUAUAUAUGCAUAUAUUGGAACAACACUUAUUUUUAAAAUAAUUUAUAGUAUAAAAUUGAUUGGAUAUGGUCUUAGUUGAAAUUAUUAUUACACAGACCUUAAAAGAUUUUGUCUUCUUCUUUUUUUUUGCACACUUUUAUAUAUAUGUCUAAAUUUAGUAUUUCUGAGUGACUAACUGGUUCAGGUAAACCGGUAACCUGUAAGGAGGGAUGAAACAUAAAUAUUUAAAACUUUCGAUUUGGUUUCAAAAUCAUGUCAAAUUAUAAGGGAAAAUUGACAAAAUAAUCCUCAACUUUCAAAAAUAAGCAAAAAAAAAUUUUCAAUUCACAAACACCCCAUUUUAACCUUCAACUUCUAGCCAAACACAAAUAAAUCUUAUACUUUCAUUGACCAAACCAUUUCAGUCUCGUCAAAAGUCAAUUUCGUCAAAAGUGAAUUGUUUAGUGCCGUUAGUUUAUAUUUAACGGUUGACUUUUAAUAAAACCAAAAUGGCUUGGUCAACACAAAUAUGAGAUUUUUUUGUUCCAAUUUUAAAGUUGAAGAUUAAAAUUGCUUAUUUAAAAAUAUCUUAAUUAAUAAUUGUUGUUUUUUUUCUUUUUUUUGACAUGAAAAAUUGUUGUUUUUCAUAUUGAUUAGAAUGACUAACCUAAUCAAAUAUGUUCAAAUAAGCUUAGAUAUAAUAUUUUUAAAAAGAAUUAAAACUAAAAAAAAUUAACAAAAAAUCUUAAUUAAAAAUACAAUUAUAAUGUAAAUUCAGAUAUAACAAAAAAUAAUUAAGUGUUUAUGUUAAAAAAAAUCUAAGAAUAAAAACAUAAAAGUUGAAGGUAAAAUCCUAAACACGUUGUUGUUAGAAGUAUGAUCACCGGUGGCUGAUGUAUAGAAAGUUAGAAACAGUUGCUGGAAUCAGCCGAAGAUCCCUUUCACGCAUUUGCCUUCAGCCUUUUUCACUUGCCUCAUCUUCUAAUUAUAAUUGUAUUUUUAAUUAAGUUUUUUUAAACAAUUUUUAGUUUUUAAUUCAUUUUAAAAAAUAUUAAAUCUAAGCUUAUUUGAAAAUAUUUUAUUAAGCUAGUGAUUAGAAUCGAUAUGAAAAACAAAAAAAUUGUUGUAAAAAAAAUAACAAUUUUUAGUUAAGAUAUUUUUAAGUAAACAAUUUUAAUCCUCAACUUUUAAAUUGGAAAAAAAUCUCAUAUUUGUGUUGACCAUGCCAUUUUAGCCUUAUUAAAAAUCAACCGUUAAAUAUAACUAACUACACUAAACAGUUGACUAUCGAAGAGAAUGAAAUGGUUUGGUGAAUGAAAAUAUGAGAUUUGUUCGUGUUUAACUAGAAGUUGGUUGAACGAAAAAAAAGAGUUGAACAAAAAAAUAAAUAGAAGUUGAAGGUUAAAGUGGUGUGUUUUUGAAUUAGAGAUUUUUUUGGGUUGUUUUCGAAAAUUGAGGGUUAUUUUGUUAAUUUUCCCCAGAUUAUAGUGUCCCACAUUCAAUUAUUUAAAACAAUGAGAAACAAAGGAGUUUUUGUGUUAAAAAGAAAAAAAAAGAGAAACAAAGGAGUUUUAGGUUAAAUUCAAAAUUCAAAAUCACAAAUUCGUCCCAAAUUCUGGCAUCCCGCGAUAGAUUCCAAUUAGUGAGAAGAGCAAAGAGAUGAGAGGCGGAGCCGCCGGAAAGAGAAAAACAACGGCCGGUUUCUCCGGAGCACCACCACCGCAACCACCACCUUCGGUAGAUUACCAGCGCCAACUCUUCAACUCACGAGACUCCGACGCCAGUUUCGCCAGCAGCCGCCCGUCAUCAGUCGGCUUAAGCCGCGCCUCCGAUAUACACACCGACAGAUCUCACCAAUCCUCGACGAUCCGCUCCAUCAACGCCUUCCUCGCGUCUCACAACUCCCCGAUCUCGCUCCGCGCCCACCCCGUCCCUCCCGUCAAAGACAUCUCCGAAACCCUAGUUUUCCUCCUCUCCACGGUCGAUUUCCACUGCGAUAAUCGCAAAUGGGACGAGGACGUCGUCUUCUUCCUCAGAUCGCUUAGCUGCCCGCUCAAGCUCACCAAAUCCACCCUCCGCGCUCCGAACUCGCCUCACAACUGGCCUAACGUCCUCGCCGUGAUUAACUGGCUGGUUCAGUACGCUCGCUUCCGUCAGCAUCUAUCGUCGAGUCUCGCCUCGGUGGCUCCGGAUGCUAACUCCAUGUCUUCC
Molecule: long non-coding RNA, 4854 nt
Filed under: Brassica napus (rape)
Lineage: Eukaryota; Viridiplantae; Streptophyta; Magnoliopsida; Brassicales; Brassicaceae
Description: long non-coding RNA (BNAP_LNC023768)
Source: RNAcentral